GUCUAAGUGGCAUAGUGGCUUUAGCAUUGGACUAUGACUCUGGAGACCAGGGUUUGAAUCCCAGCUUGGCUA
This is a non-coding RNA of Phrynosoma platyrhinos (Desert horned lizard), 72 nucleotides long. The record is from the annotation of a GenBank genome assembly. NCBI's taxonomy places the organism in Eukaryota, Metazoa, Chordata, Lepidosauria, Squamata, Phrynosomatidae.